CCUACGGGAGGCAGCAGUGAGGAAUAUUGGUCAAUGGGCGGGAGCCUGAACCAGCCAAGUCGCGUGAGGGAAGACGGUCCUAUGGAUUGUAAACCUCUUUAGGCGGGGAGCAAUGCCGGGCACGCGUGCCCGGCGGGAGAGUACCCGCAGAAUAAGCAUCGGCUAACUCCGUGCCAGCAGCCGCGGUAAUACGGAGGAUGCGAGCGUUAUCCGGAUUUAUUGGGUUUAAAGGGUGCGUAGGCGGACGCUUAAGUCAGCGGUAAAAUUGCGGGGCUAAACCUCGUCGAGCCGUUGAAACUGGGGGCCUUGAGUGGGCGAGAAGUACGCGGAAUGCGUGGUGUAGCGGUGAAAUGCAUAGAUAUCACGCAGAACUCCGAUUGCGAAGGCAGCGUACCGGCGCCCAACUGACGCUGAAGCACGAAGGCGUGGGUAUCGAACAGGAUUAGAUACCCUGGUAGUC
RNAcentral lists this ribosomal RNA (460 nucleotides) under uncultured bacterium. RNAcentral describes it as "partial 16S ribosomal RNA". It matches the Rfam family "Bacterial small subunit ribosomal RNA", at positions 338 to 795 of the family's 1533-position model. The record is from RNAcentral.